CGCUCCAGUCCUCCCUGUCAUAAUAUGCAACAGAGGACAUGGAAAUCAUAUUAUAUCCCAGAGAAAUAGAAGUGCGUAAAUGCUACACAAGCAACAUGGCAGUAGCAGCAAGUCCAGGGUCCUCAUGGCAACGCACAAACCGACAGGCCUUCAAAACAGACUACAGAAGACCUACACUGCAGUUCUCUCUCAGCGUGUCUUGACUGGGGAAAAAACGGAGGGAGAGAUGGAGGGAAAGCUGGAAGGAGAAAAGGCCCCCUGGGAACCACGGGCAAACGGGGUGUGUGAACCUCCAUCGCUUAACCCCGUUUAAUAACCAUAUCUCACACACACACACAUGCACAUUUGAACUUCCUAAUGCACAAGCAUCUACACGGUCUCUCUCUCCCACUUACAUAUUUAGAGUGAAUGGUAUUAAUAUAAUAUGCUCUCAAAAGGAAGGAUAUUUUGCAUUUAAAAUAAAAUCCAGGGGCAAUUUAUGGGGAGCUUAACAGCUGUAAAUCCAGCUCUUGAUCUCUUUGAUCAAUUUAUGGUCAGGUAAAACAUGGGAUAGAGAGAUAAAGCAGAUAGCCAAGAGUUGAAUGGCCAUCCUUAGACACAGUAAUUCAUACUGAAUGACAUGAAGUGAUAGCUGAUUGCCAGAAGGAAGGCAAGGGAAAUGGAGAGACAUGGAAGAAAAGAGAGAGGAGGAGUGUGUCUGUUCUUAGAUGUAUUCAACAUUUCAAUGGUUCAAGGAACACUUUGAACACUGCAAAAACAAAGCACAACACGAACCACACUAUCCUUGUGGGGGCCAAACAAUUGAUUCCCAUUCAAAAUCCUAUUUUCCCUUAACCUUAACCCCAAACCUAACCACUAACCCUAAUG
This is a long non-coding RNA of Coregonus clupeaformis (lake whitefish), 867 nucleotides long. RefSeq lists it as uncharacterized. NCBI's taxonomy places the organism in Eukaryota, Metazoa, Chordata, Actinopteri, Salmoniformes, Salmonidae. The record is from RefSeq and is a predicted model, not a curated record. The transcript is spliced from 3 exons.